This 377-nucleotide unclassified non-coding RNA is filed under the name uncultured Parachlamydiaceae bacterium. RNAcentral describes it as "contains 16S-23S intergenic spacer region". The record is from RNAcentral. Lineage: Bacteria; Pseudomonadati; Chlamydiota; Chlamydiia; Parachlamydiales; Parachlamydiaceae.
UCCUGGUUAACCCAGGCAGUCUCAUUAGAGUUCCCACCUUAAAUGUUGGCAACUAAUGAUAAGGGUUGCGCUCGUUGCGGGACUUAACCCAACACCUCACGGCACGAGCUGACGACAGCCAUGCAGCACCUGUGCAGCAGUCCCGAAGGAAAGACUCAUUUCUGAGUCGGUCUACUGCAUGUCAAGCCUGGGUAAGGUUCUUCGCGUUGCAUCGAAUUAAACCACAUGCUCCACUGCUUGUGCGGGUCCCCGUCAAUUCUUUUGAGUUUCAGCCUUGCGACUGUACUCCCCAGGCGGUAUACUUAACGCGUUAGCUCCGGCACAACUGGGGUUGAGUCCAGUUACACCAAGUAUACAUCGUUUACAGCAAGGACUAC